AGCGAACGCUGGCGGCAGGCUUAACACAUGCAAGUCGAGCGGGCAUCCUUGUGGUGUCAGCGGCAGACGGGUGAGUAACGCGUGGGAACGUGCCCUUCGGUUCGGAAUAACUCAGGGAAACUUGAGCUAAUACCGGAUACGUGCGAGAGCAGAAAGGUUUAUCUGCCGAAGGAUCGGCCCGCGUCUGAUUAGCUAGUUGGUGAGGUUACGGCUCACCAAGGCGACGAUCAGUAGCUGGUCUGAGAGGAUGAUCAGCCACACUGGGACUGAGACACGGCCCAGACUCCUACGGGAAGCAGCAGUGGGGAAUAUUGGACAAUGGGGGCAACCCUGAUCCAGCCAUGCCGCGUGAGUGAUGACGGCCUUAGGAUUGUAAAGCUCUUUUCUCCGGGACGAUAAUGACGGUACCGGAGGAAUAAGCCCCGGCUAACUUCGUG
This 437-nucleotide ribosomal RNA is filed under the name uncultured bacterium. Its description in RNAcentral is "partial 16S ribosomal RNA". It matches the Rfam family "Bacterial small subunit ribosomal RNA", at positions 29 to 507 of the family's 1533-position model. The record is from RNAcentral.